UUACACGGUGCGACCUCUCACUCCCGGUCCAGCGCCCACGCCAACCUCGGCCGUCGGCUCCGCCUGCAAGCCCACGCGCCUCUCCCGCACCGCCGCCUGCCUUCGCCUCCUCCGCGGAGAGGAGAGCACGGCCAGCUAACCUACAGCGGCCUACCCCAACGUCCGGAUCGAGCCCCGUCCUGCCCCGACAGCGCCCCCUGUCCGGAUCGAGCAACUGGUCUCGGCGGCGGCGGGAUUGUUCUGGGCGGCGACGGGAGGCAAGCUGCAGAAGAGGGAGACGCGGAAGGGAAGAGGUGGACACGGGAGAAUAUGCGAGAUCCAUUUAAUGCACCGGUCGAUUUCAUCGAUGCGGAUCAUCGUGCUGGGAAUGAGCUCACCAGGACUAAUGUGACCUUGUCUGUCAGAGACUAUGGCUUGCAAAAUGGUGAUGCUAAACCCUUCAUUCCGAACUCCGACACACUAGUCAGGAAUCAGCUCCAGGGUGCAUCCCUCCACAAUGACUUAAUUGCAGAAGAUCCUAAUACUCGUUUGAUGGAUCCUGAAACCAAGGAGCUUUACUUUAGAUCAAGGACGCAAGAGGAAGAGAUCUUGCUGCUUCGCAAGCAAAUUGCUGACGCAUCUCUCAAGGAGCUGCAGUUGCUGAGUGAAAAACAUAUACUGGAGAGAAAGCUUUCAGACUUGAGGAUGGCUGUUGAUGAGAGGCAGGAAGACGCUAUAUCUGGUGCUUUGAAGCAACUGAGCGAGAAGAAAAACCACCUUGAAGAAAAUAUGAGAUUGGGAAAUGAUUUAAAAGCUGAGGAAGAAGAGCUUUACUUGUUCACUUCUUCAUUGCUUGGUAUGUUAGCAGAAUACAAUGUUCGCCCACCUCAAAUAUAUGCUUCGACCAUUACAACUGUUACAAAGCGCUUGUACCAACAGAUGCAAUGGAAGAUUAGAUCUUUAAAUGACAGUUUAGGCAAUAUAGCUCAACCUGGAAACAUAUAUAAUCCCAAUCAUCAAGAAGCAACUCCGUCGAGAAACGGUCCUUCAUCACCCUACAAUGUGGAGCCAAAUAGGAGCACUUUCCCUCAGUAUGCUCAAGAUCCAAAUGAUCGACAUGCUGAAUACCAAGGAUCCACUUAUAACCAGGAUAUAGUAGCUACUGCCCCCUCUAAUUAUUUUGAAGAAAAUGCUGGUCCUCGAGAAGCAAGAAUAGAUGAGGACUCACAGUUCUAUAGGAAUGAUAAUCAAGAGUACUCGGCUGAUGGUGAUCCAUUGCCUGGUAUUGAGGGAUUUCAAAUUGUUGGCGAUCCUAGACCAGGAUCUACUUUAAGGGCAUGUGGUUUCCCUACGAAUGGUACUACACUUUGUAAUUUCCAGUGGGUUCGCUGUCUUGAAAAUGGCACCAGGCAAUCUAUUGAAGGUGCUACGAUGUAUGAUUUUGUGGUUACUGCAGAUGAUGUUGGCACUCUUCUUGCUGUAGACUGCACUCCUAUGGAUGAUAAUGGCCGCCAGGGUGAUUUGGUGAGGGAGUAUGCUAAUGGUGGGAACAAGAUAGCCUGUGAUCCAGAAAUGCAGAAUGACAUAAAUAUAUAUAUUUCGAAGGGGAGAGCUGACUUUGAUGUUUAUGUCCUGGUUAGUCGACUGCCUACAAUGCCAGUAAUUCCGUCUGUUCCAUGGUGUGACGAAAUGAAAGGUUUGAUCAAGCAACAUCCAAAAGUCGAGGCUGACAUCUGCCUUCCUUUGCACAGCCAGGGUAUUCACCUGAUGAAUGGGAACAAGCCACGUUGGUGCUUAGACGAACUGGGUAUCAAAUCAACUUCGGCCAUAAGGAUGAAGCUGGAAUUGAUGAGAAAUAUUCACCAAACGUACAGACAAAAAUACCCAAUGGGCGAACUACUCAGUUUGUUUUAGUAAGUUCUGGGGGUGUAAAUGUGCCAUUUAACACACAGGGAAUAUCGGAGCCACAAAAUGAGGAUAAUGAUGUUAGGCUACGUGAUCUAAUCGUAUUGGUCAUGAGGACUUUCCAGAACAAGGCAUUAGAUGCUAAAAGGAAAGGCAAGGCUUAGAUGUGUAAAAAAAAAGAGUGAUUCUCGUCUAGAAGAAUUUUGCUCAUUAUUUUGUGCAGUGUUCAUUGUUUGCCUCGAGGUGAAAGAUUGUCCCAAGCAUUCUAAGAUUUAUCUAGAGGCAUGGAGCUACAGAAAAGGGUUGGGUAGUCUUGUAGGUUAACUUGUGUAUAAAUACAAUAAUUUUCUGUAGCUUCUUUUUUUCCUUCUUCCCAUUUUUCUCUCCUUCACAUUCGUUUUAUCUCUCGAUUGCCCCCUCUAGGUUAUUAGUCACAGGAAUUGUACUUGUUGGUAAAAUUUGAGCAAAAGCCAAUUAAUGUAAUGAAUUGCUGCUGUGUUAUAUGGUAGAGAUUAGUUUACCAGUAACAGCUGCUGAUAUUGUC
Brachypodium distachyon (stiff brome) is the source of this 2428-nucleotide RNA transcript. RefSeq lists it as uncharacterized. The record is from RefSeq and is a predicted model, not a curated record. The transcript is spliced from 20 exons. Lineage: Eukaryota; Viridiplantae; Streptophyta; Magnoliopsida; Poales; Poaceae.